Gracilinanus agilis (Agile Gracile Mouse Opossum) is the source of this 356-nucleotide long non-coding RNA. RefSeq lists it as uncharacterized. The record is from RefSeq and is a predicted model, not a curated record. The transcript is spliced from 2 exons. Lineage: Eukaryota; Metazoa; Chordata; Mammalia; Didelphimorphia; Didelphidae.
GGAGGCGCGCGCCCGAGCCGCCGCCGCCGCCGCCGCCGCCGAAUAUCCAACAAGGAGCGAGCCCAGUGGCCGCCGUCCUCGCCAGCGGAGUCGCCGCCGCCGUCCCCUUCCCUGCCCCCGUCCUUGGGCGUUUGAGCAAGACUGGUUUCGGUUCUCCCCGAGCUUCUCUCGCAGAAUUGUUUGAAAAUGGAGCCCGUCUUCUGGAGAUUCUGGCACAGGCUGGGUCACAUGCAGCAACUGGAAGAUAUGCUCAUGCACAUGUGAACACUUCCCUUCCACUCCAUACAGACAUUGUAUUAGCUUAAUGUUUUGUUUAAAAUUGAACCAAUUAAUAAACAAUGUAUUAUGUAAGAGUA